AAAAGGACUAGAGAAAUAGAAAUAAGAGAGUCAGUGCCAAGCUGCUGGUUCCAAGGUGACAUAUCCUUGUCUUUCUGAUCCAGAAACUGAAAACUUACUAAUGUCACCCAGAAAUGAGAAAGCUAUGAGAGUCAUAUCAGAACUUCUUUGCUACACAGAGAUGGUACAUAGGGACAUGGAGUACAAAGGCUGCCAACUCAUGCCUUCCCACACAACUGUCUUUCCCUGCACUGUCAUGGAAAGAAGUGCCAAACGUAACGGAAAUAACAGAGGAUGCUGUGUUGGGAUGUGCACAAUGUGA
This 301-nucleotide long non-coding RNA is filed under the name Ictidomys tridecemlineatus (thirteen-lined ground squirrel). RNAcentral describes it as "lncRNA (ENSSTOG00000029522.1)". Lineage: Eukaryota; Metazoa; Chordata; Mammalia; Rodentia; Sciuridae. The record is from RNAcentral.